UGGAAAGCUGACAGGAUAUUAUCGCGUGUUCGCGAGCGCGCGCGCGUGUGUUUGGUAGUAGUGUGGAUAGUGCAGCAAAAUGUUAGGAAAAGUUUUGACUUCGCUGCUUCUUCUCGCUGUCUUCUUCUAUGAACCCGCUGAGGCGCAGAAGAAGAAAGAGACUCUGCUGUCAGAGAAGGUGACGCAGAUGAUGGAGUGGGCCUCCAAACGGUCAGUCAUCAAAAUGAAUGGAGAUAAGUUUCGUCGUUUUGUCAAGGCUCCCCCUAGAAACUACUCAGUGGUCAUCAUGUUUACAGCACUGCAGCCACAGAGACAAUGUGGAGUGUGCAGGCAAGCUGACGAAGAGUUCCAGGUGUUGGCUAACUCCUGGCGUUUUUCUUCUGCCUUUACCAAUAAAGUCUUUUUUGCGUCUGUUGACUUUGAUGAAGGAUCAGAUGUAUUUCAGAUGCUGAAUAUGAAUUCUGCCCCAACAUUCCUCCAUUUCCCAUCCAAAGGAAAACCUCGAAGGUCUGAUACGUAUGAGCUCCAGGUCCGAGGCUUCGCGGCUGAGCAGCUGGCUAGAUGGGUGGCAGACAGAACUGAUGUACAAAUCCGUGUCAUUCGUCCUCCCAACUAUGCAGGGCCUCUCCUGCUGGGAUUCCUUCUGGCUGUGAUUGGUGGACUUGCAUAUCUACGAAGACACAAUUUAGAGUUUCUCUUUAACACAAAUGUCUGGGCCUUCUCCGCACUGUGCUUUGUCCUGAUCAUGACUUCAGGGCAGAUGUGGAACCACAUCAGAGGACCACCUUAUGCUCACAAAAACCCCAGCACAGGACAAGUUAGUUACAUCCACGGCAGCAGUCAGGCACAGUUCGUGGCGGAGACACACAUCGUCCUCCUCUUCAAUGCGGCUGUUACCAUGGGAAUAGUUCUACUGUGUGAAGCUGCUACUUCAGACAUGGAUAUUGGAAAGAGAAAGAUUAUGUGUGUUGCAGGUAUUGGUCUAGUUAUGCUGUUCUUCAGUUGGUUGCUGUCGAUCUUCCGAGCCAAGUACCAUGGAUAUCCAUACAGCUUCCUGAUGACUUAGUGCUGAUCAGCUCCUCCAGAGUCAAAGCAAGUAUAGGUCAGAGGUCAGCCGUUCUGCAGGGUGCUGUCCACAGCAUCUUUGAUGAAAAACUGUUUGCCAAGCCAUGGUUUGUCCUCUGAUCUGUUUAAUAAAAGUCAGUACAUCAUAUACAUACGGUGCCUUUUACAAAAUCACAAGUGGUUCCUUUACCAACGACAGAGCUCUGAUCGCUGCUGUGCAACAUGAACAGUCAUGUACCAAAAGGUGUCUUCUUGGUCCGAAUUUUGGCCAAAUUGUUUGUUUUUGAUUAAUUUCUAACCUGCAGGUUUCCCGCUGUGUUUUUGUCUUAAAGUACAGACAUGAGUCAGGACUGUUUAGUUCUUGUUGCUAAGACCUCAGCAGACAUUAUAGUCUGUUGUUGCUGUGACUCUUAGGAUCCAGCAGUAGUACUCUGUGUGCUAUUUGUACUAAAAAGGUUUUGUUAAAACAUCAGUUUAGCCCGUUUCUUUUUUAUAUACAAAUACUUCCCUCCUUUAGUAAUACUCUGCUUGAUUUUUACUGAGUUUGUACACUUUUGUUGCAGUUAGGCUAACAGGAACAGAGAUCGUGUUGGAGAAAGUAGUUCUUGUUAAACUUUCCCCAUAAACUCUGAGCUCAGAAAUACUGAUACCAGGAGUCACUUUGGCAAACAGUAAAUAGAGAGUAUAGUCUUGAUUUUAAACCCACAUUUAAAUUUAAAUGUGAUAUUUAACAUUGACACUCUAUUUGCCCCAGGAACUGUUAAAGUUAGCUGUGUUUCCUGUGUUUGGGGUUAACAAACCGAGUUUUCACUAAACCUGUUUUCGGGAUCACGGCCCUCACACAUGUAAAAUAUGAUCUGUAGAAACAGAAGUUAUUUUCAUUACAUGGUUCAGUAAAAUUCAAUAAUCAGGUAAUCAUUGGUGUCUUAUUACUGUGAUCACAGCCCUUUUGUUUUUAAAUGAAAAAUGUCAGAUUGUAUGAAAAUAUGUUGGUACUUUGUUGUCAAGCUAACUGUUCACAUUUGGGAAUUCUUUCCAAAUGGGCCUUAUUUGCAGAGCAUGAUGGUAUUCAUGUGUCUUUAUGUGUGUAUACAUGAGGACUGGGAGAAGGUUGCAUUGUGUGUGUUAUGCUUUAAAUGUGUGUUGUUGCUGCGUUAUCAAGUUCAACAAAGAGGGAAUAUUUGAUCAGAGCUGACUGUUGCUGAUAUUAAAGUGUCUUAACUGAG
This is a long non-coding RNA of Oreochromis niloticus (Nile tilapia), 2291 nucleotides long. RefSeq annotates it as magnesium transporter protein 1. The transcript is spliced from 10 exons. The record is from RefSeq and is a predicted model, not a curated record. Lineage: Eukaryota; Metazoa; Chordata; Actinopteri; Cichliformes; Cichlidae. The annotation marks the transcript as partial.